Molecule: ribosomal RNA, 285 nt
Filed under: Escherichia coli
Lineage: Bacteria; Pseudomonadati; Pseudomonadota; Gammaproteobacteria; Enterobacterales; Enterobacteriaceae
Description: partial 16S ribosomal RNA
Rfam family: Bacterial small subunit ribosomal RNA
Source: RNAcentral
AGCUUGCUGUUUCGCUGACGAGUGGCGGACGGGUGAGUAAUGUCUGGGAAACUGCCUGAUGGAGGGGGAUAACUACUGGAAACGGUAGCUAAUACCGCAUAACGUCGCAAGACCAAAGAGGGGGACCCUCGGGCCUCUUGCCAUCGGAUGUGCCCAGAUGGGAUUAGCUUGUUGGUGGGGUAACGGCUCACCAAGGCGACGAUCCCUAGCUGGUCUGAGAGGAUGACCAGCCACACUGGAACUGAGACACGGUCCAGACUCCUACGGGAGGCAGCAGUGGGGAAU